Molecule: ribosomal RNA, 390 nt
Filed under: uncultured bacterium
Lineage: Bacteria
Description: bacterial SSU rRNA
Rfam family: Bacterial small subunit ribosomal RNA
Source: RNAcentral
GACGAACGCUGGCGGCGUGCUUAACACAUGCAAGUCGAGCGGUAAGGCCCUUUCGGGGGUACGACGAGCGGCGAACGGGUGAGUAACACGUGGGUGACCUGCCCUCAGCUCUGGGAUAAGCCUGGGAAACCGGGUCUAAUACUGGAUAUGACUCCAUGACGCAUGUUGUGGGGUGGAAAGCCUUGUGCGGCUGAGGAUGGGCCCGCGGCCUAUCAGCUUGUUGGUGGGGUGANGGCCUACCAAGGCGACGACGGGUAGCCGGCCUGAGAGGGCGACCGGCCACACUGGGACUGAGACACGGCCCAGACUCCUACGGGAGGGCAGCAGUGGGGAAUCUUGCGCAAUGGGCGAAAGCCUGACGCAGCGACGCCGCGUGAGGGAUGACGGCCU